AUGAAAAAAAAAUUAUUUUCCGAAACUUUAAUACAUUUUAACCAAUAAUGGUUUUUAAAUAAAACGAUCAUCCAAUAUAAAGUAUAUAUUUUGUAUAUAUUUGAAAUUAUCUAAAUACGAUUGCCUGCAGGUGCCCAAAAUCCUCAAGCUCAAACUCCGCGUAUGUAAAAAUGAUUAGUAUUUUCCUUUUUAAUUUGUAAUAUUUGUAUGUAAAAUUUCAUUUUAAACAAUAUUUUUUUUACAUAAUUUUCAGCGAAAUAA
Molecule: long non-coding RNA, 261 nt
Organism: Rhopalosiphum maidis (corn leaf aphid)
Lineage: Eukaryota; Metazoa; Arthropoda; Insecta; Hemiptera; Aphididae
Exons: 3
Source: RefSeq, a predicted model, not a curated record